Molecule: long non-coding RNA, 832 nt
Organism: Suricata suricatta (meerkat)
Lineage: Eukaryota; Metazoa; Chordata; Mammalia; Carnivora; Herpestidae
Exons: 4
Source: RefSeq, a predicted model, not a curated record
AAAUGGCCUGCCUCGUCCUAGUCUCCCUCGGCCCACACGAGCCCCCGGCCUGCUAGUGGCAGGCCCAGAUUAGGGGAUGUGCCAAAUCCACUUGAGUCUUCCUUGAAUCCAAGAAGCAGAUGAGCAGCGUCUCUGACAAGGUGGAACAUACAUGAAAUAAACCAAAACUCAGCGGAGUUGGCUUAUAAUGUAUCAUUCCCAUAUUUUGACUCAUCUUUUUCAAACAAAAUGUGUGCCCUAUUGGUUCAUGAAUGGUCUAUAAAAUAAUGAACCUGGGGGAAACACAAGGUUCAAGCCAACACACAGGGUAGAAGAAAAAGGCUUAUCCACUGCUUCUUCUCUUAAAAAGGUUCCACCUCUGGAUAUACACAAGCCAUCAUCUAUUUGGGUGAAGAAAUCUUAAGGUGAGGCACUAUGCCAUUUACAAGCCCUCAGUGAAGAAAGAGGAAGUAAUGAACUCUGGAGUAAUGAGGCAAUUAUCAAAGGAUGAAUCUCAUUAUGGAACAAACUCAGCACCUGCAUCUAUCAAUCUACAUCCUCCAAAAGUUCUACCAACCUAUGUACUUUCAGGAACCAUAAAUUUUGCCUUAUAACUAGAGACCACAUCUAUUUUUAUACAAUGCUAUCCCCAAUGUUACUGUAUUAAAAAUAGUCCAUGGAGCUCCAUGCCCAUUGCAUUCUAUGUGAAUGACAUCCCAGAAACCAAAUAGUGCUGCAGCCUUUGUUGCCCCAGUGAAGUUGAAACCAUUAGUGGCUGACUUGAGAAACCAGAUACUCAUGAUAACUUCAGUUUUACUAAAAAUGUCUAAUUCUUGGUGUAAUAUAUAUUUCU